AGCCUGGUCUGGUGGUUGGCGACCCUGCACAUAGCAGGGGGUCGAAACCAGAUGAUCACUAUGGUCCUUUUCAACCCAGGCCAUUCUGUGAUUAUGGAUGAAGACCAUCUCUGCCACUGAGGACGUCCAGUGCAAAGAUUAAAAUCCCUCGAAUUACUGCUCUGGUCUAGGGAAAACUGCAGACAAGAAAAUAGCUGCUUGCCAACUCUUGCAUUGCCCUGCAGAAAAGCCAGAACUGAUGUCUCACAGAGCAGUGCUAGGAUGAGCUUGCAAGUGAGGAUGGAGAGAAGAUGCUUCCUUUUGCAGUAAUUCUCCACCAGUGGAUAAAGCACAUCUGGCAUGCUCUCUGGGAGGAAGAAUCCUCAUGCCACAAAUAAGAAAUGCCUAUAUCUGCAUAAGAUCAGGUUGGUGGGACCAGCAAAUAAGGAAUAGGCACACCUUACCCUACGUUCUAAAAUUCAUCUGUAUCUGGUAAUAUUUCUGAUGUUAUCUGCAUGAAGGAUUCUUCUUUGUUUGAUUUGAAUCUUUUCUUUUUGGCUACUGAAACCAUACUGUGGCAUGCAGGUUAAAUCUGCUGUUUAGUCUGGAGGUUGUGCUCUCCUGCCUCACAGAGUUACACUUGAAGGCUUUUCGUGUGGAGGUUCAAUUGAACUCUUCAGUUCAUCCCACCCCAGACUUGUUCCUUGGCUCUGAUAUCAGUAACAAAUAAUAACUAUCUAUUUUUGCAUACAUUAGAAGUCUGAUGCCUGUACUAAGGAAGUGGUUACAGCUCCUCUUCCACCUACUCUGGAAAGAUUCCUAGUAAUGAAUACUUUUCCAUGUAUGAAUGUCUUUAUUUUCUUUUUCUUGGCUUCUUCCCAGAUUCUUUAAAUACAGAUUUUCCUAAAACAUGA
This is a long non-coding RNA of Gallus gallus (chicken), 893 nucleotides long. RefSeq lists it as uncharacterized. The record is from RefSeq and is a predicted model, not a curated record. Lineage: Eukaryota; Metazoa; Chordata; Aves; Galliformes; Phasianidae. The transcript has 2 exons.